UAAUUAAUUAAUUAAUUUGAAAUUUAAGAAUAUUGUCUAGCAACAUAUCAAAACUAUCAAAAUUUUCAGAAUGCCAAAAGUAGUUUGACUUAAUCUUUUAGUACAUGGUUUGUCAAUGCAAUUAAUAUCCCUUUAUCACAAAUGUCCCGAUUUAAUAUUUGAUGCGUGGAACGUAUAUACAAUAUUAAAUCAUAUUAGUUUUUCAUUUAUUAGCUAUUGACAUAUUGAUUGAAAUUUCAAAUCUCAUUUGCUAAUUUCAUUCUAUCUUGUGCAAAGAUUUUAUGAUCAAUGCUAGCAGAGAACGAAUAGGACAUUCCUUAAUUUAACUUAAGAUAAUGGUAUGUAUUUAGUUGUUGACUGUUGAAAGAUUCUAGUGGAAGCGGUCCACCACGUGAUUCAAUGGUCGGAGACGGUAACACGCUUCAGUUCCCACGUGACGUGAAAUGCUUUUGCCUUUACUAUAUGACCCGGUUGUUGAUUCCCUCCUACAUGUGAGAACAUAUCUUUUUUCUU
This is a long non-coding RNA of Manihot esculenta (cassava), 513 nucleotides long. RefSeq lists it as uncharacterized. The transcript has 2 exons. The record is from RefSeq and is a predicted model, not a curated record. NCBI's taxonomy places the organism in Eukaryota, Viridiplantae, Streptophyta, Magnoliopsida, Malpighiales, Euphorbiaceae.